This 373-nucleotide ribosomal RNA is filed under the name uncultured eukaryote. RNAcentral describes it as "partial 18S ribosomal RNA". It matches the Rfam family "Eukaryotic small subunit ribosomal RNA", at positions 592 to 976 of the family's 1831-position model. The record is from RNAcentral.
CAAUAGCGUAUAUUAAAGUCGUUGCAGUUAAAAAGCUCGUAGUUGAAUUUUUGCUUGCCGCCGAUGUCGGAACUUCCGUACGUUCGGCGGCGUGCAUCCUUGGGUGGAACCUGUGUGGCAUUAGGUUGUCGUGCAGGGGAUGCUCAUCGUUUACUGUGAAAAAAUUAGAGUGUUCAAAGCAGGCUUACGCCGUUGAAUAUAUUAGCAUGGAAUAAUAAGAUAGGACCUUGGUACUAUUUUGUUGGUUUGCGCACCGAGGUAAUGAUUAACAGGGACAGUUGGGGGUAUUCGUAUUCCAUUGUCAGAGGUGAAAUUCUUGGAUUUCUGGAAGACGAACUACUGCGAAAGCAUUUACCAAGGAUGUUUUCAUUAA